AUACGUAGGGGGCAAGCGUUACUCGGAUUUACUGGGCGUAGCGAAUGUAGGCUGUUAUGUAAGUCAGUGGUGAAAUCCCUCAGCUCAACUGAGGAACUGCCUUUGAUACUGCAUGACUUGAGGACAGGAGAGGAAAGUGGAAUUCCCGGUGUAGCGGUGGAAUGCGUAGAUAUCGGGAGGAACACCAGAGGCGAAGGCGGCUUUCUGGACUGGUCCUGACGCUCAGAUUCGAAAGCUAGGGUAGCAAACAGGAUUAGAAACCCCAGUAGUCC
This 272-nucleotide ribosomal RNA is filed under the name uncultured bacterium. RNAcentral's name for it is "partial 16S ribosomal RNA". It matches the Rfam family "Bacterial small subunit ribosomal RNA", at positions 523 to 796 of the family's 1533-position model. The record is from RNAcentral.